RNAcentral lists this ribosomal RNA (253 nucleotides) under uncultured bacterium. Its description in RNAcentral is "partial 16S ribosomal RNA". It matches the Rfam family "Bacterial small subunit ribosomal RNA", at positions 524 to 776 of the family's 1533-position model. The record is from RNAcentral.
UACGUAGGGUCCGAGCGUUGUCCGGAAUUACUGGGCGUAAAGAGCUCGUAGGUGGUUUGUCGCGUUGUUCGUGAAAACUCACAGCUCAACUGUGGGCGUGCGGGCGAUACGGGCGGACUUGAGUACUGCAGGGGAGACUGGAAUUCCUGGUGUAGCGGUGGAAUGCGCAGAUAUCAGGAGGAACACCAAUAGCGAAGGCAGCUCGCUGGGACGUUACUGACACUGAGGCGCGAAAGCGUGGGGAGCGAACAGG